Molecule: ribosomal RNA, 419 nt
Filed under: Afipia sp. oral taxon 636
Lineage: Bacteria; Pseudomonadati; Pseudomonadota; Alphaproteobacteria; Hyphomicrobiales; Nitrobacteraceae
Description: bacterial SSU rRNA
Rfam family: Bacterial small subunit ribosomal RNA
Source: RNAcentral
AGCGAACGCUGGCGGCAGGCUUAACACAUGCAAGUCGAACGGGCACUUCGGUGCUAGUGGCAGACGGGUGAGUAACACGUGGGAACGUACCUUUCGGUUCGGAAUAAUUCAGGGAAACUUGGACUAAUACCGGAUACGCCCUUCGGGGGAAAGAUUUAUCGCCGAUAGAUCGGCCCGCGUCUGAUUAGCUAGUUGGUGAGGUAAUGGCUCACCAAGGCGACGAUCAGUAGCUGGUCUGAGAGGAUGAUCAGCCACAUUGGGACUGAGACACGGCCCAAACUCCUACGGGAGGCAGCAGUGGGGAAUAUUGGACAAUGGGCGCAAGCCUGAUCCAGCCAUGCCGCGUGAGUGAUGAAGGCCUUAGGGUUGUGAAGCUCUUUUGUCCGGGAAGAUAAUGACUGUACCGGAAGAAUAAGCCC